Molecule: ribosomal RNA, 305 nt
Filed under: uncultured bacterium
Lineage: Bacteria
Description: partial 16S ribosomal RNA
Rfam family: Bacterial small subunit ribosomal RNA
Source: RNAcentral
ACAGCAGCCGCCACGGUAAUACGGAGGGUGCAAGCGUUAAUCGGAAUUACUGGGCGUAAAGCGCACGCAGGCGGUCUGACAAGUCAGAUGUGAAAUCCCCGGGCUUAACCUGGGAACUGCAUUUGAAACUGUCAGGCUGGAGUCUUGUAGAGGGGGGUGGAAUUCCAGGUGUAGCGGUGAAAUGCGUAGAGAUCUGGAGGAAUACCGGUGGCGAAGGCGGCCCCCUGGACAAAGACUGACGCUCAGGUGCGAAAGCGUGGGGAGCAAACAGGAUUAGAGACCCCUGUAGUCCCUGUCUCUUAUAC